CAGCAGCCGCGGGAAUACGAAGGGUGCAAGCGUUACUCGGAAUUACUGGGCGUAAAGCGUGCGUAGGUGGUGGUUUAAGUCCGUUGUGAAAGCCCUGGGCUCAACCUGGGAAUUGCAGUGGAUACUGGGUCACUAGAGUGUGGUAGAGGAUAGUGGAAUUUCCGGUGUAGCAGUGAAAUGCGUAGAGAUCGGAAGGAACAUCUGUGGCGAAGGCGACCAUCUGGGACAACACUGACGCUGAGGCACGAAAGCGUGGGGAGCAAACAGGAUUAGAUACCCCGGUAGUCCCUGUCUCUUAUAC
RNAcentral lists this ribosomal RNA (301 nucleotides) under uncultured bacterium. Its description in RNAcentral is "partial 16S ribosomal RNA". It matches the Rfam family "Bacterial small subunit ribosomal RNA", at positions 509 to 807 of the family's 1533-position model. The record is from RNAcentral.